UACAGAGGUCUCAAGCGUUGUUCGGAUUCAUUGGGCGUAAAGAGCGUGUAGGCGGCCAGGUAGGUCCGUUGUGAAAACUGGAGGCUUAACCUCCAGCUGUCGAUGGAAACCAUCUGGCUAGAGUCCGGAAGAGGAGAGUGGAAUUCCUGGUGUAGCGGUGAAAUGCGCAGAUAUCAGGAAGAACACCCGUGGCGAAGGCGGCUCUCUGGGACGGUACUGACGCUGAGACGCGAAAGCGUGGGGAGCGAACAGG
Molecule: ribosomal RNA, 253 nt
Filed under: uncultured bacterium
Lineage: Bacteria
Description: partial 16S ribosomal RNA
Rfam family: Bacterial small subunit ribosomal RNA
Source: RNAcentral